RNAcentral lists this ribosomal RNA (253 nucleotides) under uncultured bacterium. Its description in RNAcentral is "partial 16S ribosomal RNA". It matches the Rfam family "Bacterial small subunit ribosomal RNA", at positions 524 to 776 of the family's 1533-position model. The record is from RNAcentral.
UACGAAGGGGGCUAGCGUCGUUCGGGAUUACUGGGCGUAAAGCGCAUGCUGGCGGAUUGAUCAGUCAGGGGUGAAAUCCCGAGGCUCAACCUCGGAACUGCCUUUGAUACUGUCAGUCUUGAGUCCGGGAGAGGUGAGUGGAACUCCGAGUGUAGAGGUGAAAUUCGUAGAUAUUCGGAAGAACACCAGUGGCGAAGGCGGCUCACUGGCCCGGUACUGACGCUGAGAUGCGAAAGCGUGGGGAGCAAACAGG